Macaca mulatta (Rhesus monkey) is the source of this 585-nucleotide non-coding RNA. Lineage: Eukaryota; Metazoa; Chordata; Mammalia; Primates; Cercopithecidae. The record is from RefSeq and is a predicted model, not a curated record.
UUUCAUUUUUCACAGAAAUAGAAAAUCCAUGAAUAUGUACAAAACCACAAAACAUCCUGGAUAGCCAAAUCAAGCAUUGGAAAGUAUCCAUCUAGACAUGAGAAGAUGUGACUAAAGGAAGACAGCAAUGUGGAAAGGAACAUGGCCAAUGAUUAGGAAAUUACAGCAAUUCUAGAGCACAAUCCAUGAUUAGUACCAAAGAACUAUGGGUGAAAAUGACAGCAAAAUCAAUAAAGAGAAUUGUAAGGUCAGUAUGAAAAACAUUCCCAGUUCAGAUCUUAAUUUCAAGAACAAUUUGCCAUGACAUCUGUGUAGUGUCUUCAUGGAAGUUUAGCAGAUCUGACAGUUAAUUAAUUAUAAAGCAAGACUAGAGACUGGACACAGUGCUAGCAGAGAAAAAUUCAUCUCAUAUGUCAACACGUUUCAGUAUAUUCAUUUUCUUAAGCCUGAAAGACAUACCCCUAGUAAAUCAUUGUUUAUCUUUAAGCUCUAAAAGGAAAUCGAACAUGACAUAAACAAUUACCAAGAUAUUCUCAGAGAAAUGCAUUCUCAAAGGAAACAAGAAUAAAUUAGAACUAGGUGACA